AUUGAACGCUGGCGGCAGGCCUAACACAUGCAAGUCGAGCGGAUGAAGGGAGCUUUCUCCUGGUUUCAGCGUCGGACGGGUGAAUAAUGCCUAGGAAUCUGCCUGGUAGUGGGGUAUAACGUCCGGAAACGGGCGCUAAUAACGCAUGCGUCCUGAGUGAGAAGGUGGGGGUUCUUCGGACCUCACGCUAUCAGAUGAGCCUUGGUCGGAUUAGCUAGUUGGUGGGGUGAAGUCCUACCAAGGCGACGAUCCGUAACUGGUCUGAGAGGAUGAUCAGUCACGCUGGAGCUGAGGGACGGUCCAGACUCCUAAGGGAGGCAGCAGUGGGGAAUAUUGGACAAUGGGCGAAAGCCUGAUCCAGCCAUGCCGCGUGUGUGAAGAAGGUCUUCGGAUUGUAAAGCACUUUAAGUUGGGAGGAAGGGCAGUAAGUUAAUACCUUGCUGUUUUGACGUUACCAACAGAAUAAGCACCGGCUAACUUCGUG
RNAcentral lists this ribosomal RNA (484 nucleotides) under uncultured bacterium. Its description in RNAcentral is "partial 16S ribosomal RNA". It matches the Rfam family "Bacterial small subunit ribosomal RNA", at positions 30 to 507 of the family's 1533-position model. The record is from RNAcentral.